ACGCUCGACACCUACGGGGGCAGCAGUUAGGAAUAUUGGGCAAUGGAGGGAACUCUGACCCAGCAACGCCGCGUGAAGGAAGAAGGUUUUCGGACUGUAAACUUCUGAUCUAAGGGAAAAAGAAAGUGAUGGUACCUUAGGAGAAAGCCACGGCUAACUACGUGCAAGCAGCCGCGGUAAUCUGAGCGGGCUGGCAAGGC
Molecule: ribosomal RNA, 200 nt
Filed under: uncultured bacterium
Lineage: Bacteria
Description: partial 16S ribosomal RNA
Rfam family: Bacterial small subunit ribosomal RNA
Source: RNAcentral